Molecule: long non-coding RNA, 446 nt
Organism: Limulus polyphemus (Atlantic horseshoe crab)
Lineage: Eukaryota; Metazoa; Arthropoda; Merostomata; Xiphosura; Limulidae
Exons: 4
Source: RefSeq, a predicted model, not a curated record
UUUUUCGACAAUCCGUCGACAGAAAGUCUUACCCUAAGAUAAACAUCUUGGUUAGUUAAUCACAAGAAGGACGGACGCUUAUGCGAUUGAUUAAAGUGCAAUGUGUUUAUACUCACACCCUGUUGCCUAACUAAACUUAGACGUUACUCUCGGUUCAAAAAAAAGGUUUUAAACGACAACUGUUCAACGAAUCCACGAAUUAUCGGUUGUACUAAAACCUUGAACAUAAGCACGUGUGACAAUCUCUCCCAAUCAGACAGCGAGGUCACAGUGGCCAUCUGAACUAGAAGGGUUGUUAUAAUAGAAAAGUCUGGAAACACAAGGAUAAUUUCAUCAAUGGCUACUUUACAACAUGGAGGAAGAAAACUGGACCAGAAAGUGGCGAUAAUCACAGGUGCUAGUUCAGGGAUAGGUAGAGCCACUGCUGUGUUGUUCUCACGCCUCGG